Molecule: transfer RNA, 75 nt
Filed under: Coriobacteriia bacterium
Lineage: Bacteria; Bacillati; Actinomycetota; Coriobacteriia
Also listed under: 1 other name
Description: tRNA-Gly
Rfam family: tRNA
About the family: Transfer RNA (tRNA) molecules are approximately 80 nucleotides in length. Their secondary structure includes four short double-helical elements and three loops (D, anti-codon, and T loops). Further hydrogen bonds mediate the characteristic L-shaped molecular structure. tRNAs have two regions of fundamental functional importance: the anti-codon, which is responsible for specific mRNA codon recognition, and the 3' end, to which the tRNAs corresponding amino acid is attached (by aminoacyl-tRNA synthetases). tRNAs cope with the degeneracy of the genetic code in two manners: having more than one tRNA (with a specific anti-codon) for a particular amino acid; and 'wobble' base-pairing, i.e. permitting non-standard base-pairing at the 3rd anti-codon position.
Source: RNAcentral
GCGGGUGUUGCCAAGUGGUAAGGCAUAAGCUUCCCAAGCUUACAUUCGCGGGUUCGAUCCCCGUCACCCGCUCCA